UGCCUGUAUAUUCUAUUACCUUGUAUUGUUGGAUGGAUUAGCAGUGUCUUUCUAAUGCAGAACACCUCUGAGGCUGUGGGCCAGAGUGAAAAGCGGAAUCUGAGUGCAGUGGUACACACAGAUACACAAUAACACACAAACAUACUCACAUAUACACACUGAAACUCACAGAUACACACUGACACACCCAGAUGCACACAUACUCACAGAUACACACCGACACUCACAUAUGCACACUGACACUCACAGAUACACACACAUACACACUGACACUCACAGAUACACACAUACACUCACA
Molecule: non-coding RNA, 298 nt
Organism: Pelobates cultripes (western spadefoot toad)
Lineage: Eukaryota; Metazoa; Chordata; Amphibia; Anura; Pelobatidae
Source: the annotation of a GenBank genome assembly